RNAcentral lists this small nuclear RNA (110 nucleotides) under Chrysemys picta bellii (western painted turtle). Lineage: Eukaryota; Metazoa; Chordata; Testudines; Emydidae. The record is from RNAcentral.
CUGACCAUCUUCGGCAGCACAUAUACUAAAAUUGGAAUGAUACAGAGAAGGUUAGCAUGGUCCCUGCACAAGGAUGACAUGCAAAUUGGGAGGAGGGAUAGCUCAGUGGU